RNAcentral lists this ribosomal RNA (440 nucleotides) under uncultured bacterium. RNAcentral's name for it is "bacterial SSU rRNA". It matches the Rfam family "Bacterial small subunit ribosomal RNA", at positions 8 to 439 of the family's 1533-position model. The record is from RNAcentral.
AGAGUUUGAUCCUGGCUCAGGACAAACGCUGGCGGCGUGCCUAACACAUGCAAGUCGAACGGGCUUCCUGCGGGGGUAACUCUGCGGGAAAGUCAGUGGCGGACGGGUGAGUAAUGCGUUGGUAACGUACCCCCCGGUCCGGGAUAACUGCUCGAAAGGGCAGCUAAUACCGGAGAUUUCCCUUGCCGGCAUCGGCGAGGGAAUAAAGGAUUUAUUUGCCGGGGGAGCGGCCUACGUUCUAUCAGCUAGUUGGUGAGGUAAGAGCUCACCAAGGCGACGACGGAUAGCCGGUCUGAGAGGAUGAUCGGCCACACUGGGACUGAGACACGGCCCAGACUCCUACGGGAGGCAGCAGUGAGGGAUAUUGCGCAAUGGGCGAAAGCCUGACGCAGCGACGCCGCGUGAGGGAUGACGGCCUUCGGGUUGUAAACCUCUGUCAG